CUUCUUACUCUAUCAAAUAUAGAACCUUUCAACCUUAGACGAAAACAGAAAACCACUAAAGAAUGGCAAAAGAUAAACUGCUAAAUCAAUUCAAGAACGUAUCCGAUUCAUCAGUUUCUAUAGAUAAUAAUGUAUUCCAACCUAGGCUUAAGUCUAGAAAGUCUAUAUGGGACAAACAUUCAACUUGGAAAAAUAAUGAAACAUGAGGUGGUCCAAAUUCGCAGAACCACUAUCAAUAACGUAGCCACGCCAGUCAUAAAUGACCGUACUUUUAUCCAGGAAAACAUGAAACUGCCUUUAACAGGAUUAGAAUCGGACAUGCUCGAACUACAAAAAAGUGCUUUUCAAAUGGGGAAUGAAACCCAAUAUGACUGUGGAAACCCAGUACAAAAUAUCAAACAUAUAUCGUCCAGAAAUGCCCCCUGAGAAAGUUUCAAGGAGCCCGGGACGAUAUAUUCAUAGCACCGUUCCUUGAAACAUUACAUGGAUAGAAUCAUAUGGACUUAGAACUUUAAAUCCCAAACCUUAAUAAAGACAACUGUUAUAUUAUUAACUGCUUACUUUGAUAUAUUACACGCCUUUAUCUUAUUAUUAGAUAGAAA
Molecule: non-coding RNA, 602 nt
Organism: Cinara cedri
Lineage: Eukaryota; Metazoa; Arthropoda; Insecta; Hemiptera; Aphididae
Source: the annotation of a GenBank genome assembly